RNA transcript from Peromyscus eremicus (cactus mouse), 2899 nucleotides. It is a transcript of the gene named coiled-coil domain containing 167, with no coding region annotated. Lineage: Eukaryota; Metazoa; Chordata; Mammalia; Rodentia; Cricetidae. The transcript is spliced from 7 exons. The record is from RefSeq and is a predicted model, not a curated record.
CAUGGCCGCGGCAGGAUGGACGCGCCCCUCAACAAGAUGGCGACGGCAGCAGCCCCGCCUCCUCCUGCCGCACCGGCCAAUGAGAGAGAAGCACGAGGACUUGCGCGUGCGUGGUGCGGCCUAGUGGGCGGGUCCGGUGCGGGGACACGGCGAGCAACGAUGACUAAAAAGAAGCGGGAGAAUCUCGGCGUCGCUCAGGAGAUUGAUGGGCUAGAGGAGAAGCUGUCUCAGUGUCGGAAGGACCUAGAGGCUGUGACCUCCCAGCUCUACAGGGCAGAACUGAGUCCUGAGGACAGGAGGUCUCUGGAAAAGGAGAAAACCACCCUCAUGAGCAGAGCCUCCAAGUAUGAGAAGGAGCUAAAGCUGCUUCGGCAAGAGAAUCGGAAGAACAUGCUCCUCUCGGUGGCCAUCUUCCUCCUCCUCGCUCUACUCUAUGCCCACUGGACUAUUCACACAGACUGAUCCUGGAUUGUCACGGUGCCACCACGGAGUGAGCUGUAUGAUUUACGUAAGAGGGAAGGUGCCUCCCCACCCUUCUGGGGCUGUGGAUUCAUUCAUUCCCUGAUCCCAGCUUUAAACAGGAACUGCACCUUGAUGCCUGUGGGCUGUCAACCAGGUAGCAGCCCAGGAGCUGGAGAGGCAUGAAUUCCACAAACCCUCCCCUUUCUCUUAAAGUCAGACCCCAGCCACACAAGCAAUAAAAAUAUGUUUAAUGAUCCAAGAUUCUGCAAGACACAUUGAUAGGCCCAGAACUGGGUGGACACAUGGCAUCCUAGCACUGUGGCUGCUGGCUUAGGGAUAGAGGCUGUCAGAAGGGACCUGCUACAGUGGAGUCAAUUCCAGCCUCACAGGUGCCUCAAUGCCCUAUCUCCAUGGAAACCAGCCUGGUGCUGGCAUGGGGCCCUCAGGACCUGCAUGAAAAUCUCUUGAGGUACCUCCCAUUAAAAACAUCCACAGGUGCCCUCCCCAAACCCAAAGCUGCUGCUCUUCCUCCCUCUUCAAGAGACAGAGGAAAUGGAGUGACCACACUGUAUGUACCUCUUAGUGGACAGGAGGGGCACCAGAGCCACCACUAGCUCAGGGCUCUGCCAAGAGCGGCUUCAGGUGGCCUGAACUGCCUGAGGGCUGGUGCUCCACCUACCCUGGAGGGGUAUCUUCUCUUACUGCAGGGAGGGAGAGAAAGACAAGGUCUUCAGUGCUGCCCAGUGUUUAGAACACAAUAGGCAGACCCAUGAAAGCCCUACAACUCAGUCACAGUCACACCCAGUACCCGAGACUCUGGUGUGUCAGGGAUGCUGGGCCCUCACUCCUUCCCAGCCUGCCAGGAUGAACUCCAGGAUGGGAGUGGGAAAAAGAAACAAAUAAAACUCUUGAUUUGUACAACAGCUGCUCUUGGCCAACGCAUGAUGGUGAGCCUCCUUGCUUAGCUGGCCUGGUAAAAGUUGGGAAAGACGGCCUGACUGCCCUCAGAGGCAGAGAAUGGAACUCAGAAAACAGAGUCUAUAAAUUCCAGAGGGAAUGGCUAGGCACUGACCUGCCCCAAGCAGCUGCUUUCAGGCUGCCUCCUGAUGGUGUCAGUUCUCAGGUAGCAGAGUUCCACAAGGAUGUGUCCUCUAAAGACCCGGAUUGAGCUACUUGGGAAUGGAGAGGAGUCCAUCUCCCUCAAGACCAGGGAGAACAUUCCCAGUUCCUUUCCAAGAGGCAGAAGGAACCAGACACAGGGCCUGCCUUGAGAACGACAGGACAUUGAUGAGGUGGAGAUCCUAAGAUCCUCCAGGAUUGUGACUCUGGAUGAAAGAAAGGACGUCCUCCUUGGACAGCUUGUCUGGAUCCUGAGGCUUCUGGGAAUCACGCAUGUGGAAGCCAUCUCCCCACUCCCAGAAGAGCCGGCUGUAGUAGCAGGUGCUGAGCUAGCUCCCAGCUGGGACUCAUCUGCAGCAAGACAGUGAAAGGCAGAGAAUGGAGCAGUGCCAGGGCCCAGCUCUAUAACCCACCCCUGCAAAUAGAAUGCAACUCCACUCAACUAUACACCAAUCUAAACCAGACUGGGCCAGUUACUCACCUGACAAAGAUCUUCUCCAUCUCUUCCAGCCUGUACACCUCCUUCACCCUGUGAGUAGAGCAGGAGGCCAUGCGAUCGGCAAAGGAUAUUCAAGUAUGAAAGGGUAACUCAGGGCAGGUGUGUGCAUCUCAGACUAGGAAACUUUAACCCACCCUGCCAGGCAGGAUAGGGAGCUGCAUUCCCAAACCACUGACAGGGCAGUUUAGCUCCAUCCCCUUCCACAAGCUUCCCACCCCACUCAGGACAGGAGAAAUAACAACAAAGCCACAACCCCAAGAGGGGUCUUGGAGGAGGAUGACAUGCUCACCUGAUAGGAUUCAUGUCAGGUCGACUGGGCUUGGAAACUGCUUUCACAAAUUUCUCAGCAAGCUGAAUUCUACAAUCCAAAUAGAAUCCUUAGAGGCAAGCCAGGGGACCUCACCAACACCUGUGCCCCAAGGCAUUUUCACAGCAUCAAUGAGAGGACCUGGGCCUACACAAAACUUCCAAGUGGCAGCAUUCUUGUCCCCUAGGGCCCAACCUGUCCUCUGGGUUCUGGCCUCUCUGAGCUGGUUUCCCUAAAGUGUGCCUUUUGCUGUGUUCAGUCAUCUCCACUAGGACUUCAAGAACCGUUAUUGUAUACAUCUGCUCUUUCACCCUAGCCCAGACACACCAAACUGAGACUGCCCAUGUUCUGGCCAUGAUUUUUAAAAGAAACCCUCCCUCUUCAAACAAACUCACCCCUAUUCACAGUCUUUACACACACACACACAAUUACUUCAAUCUAAGCAACUGUAGCAAUAUGAAAUGUGUUAGAAUUGGGCAACCAAGGCCCACAUCUCAGCCAACUGCAAUGUC